CUGCUCCAACAUAAACAGCUCACCCAAAUACAUAUUACCAGACAACAACAUACCCAUGAUUGCACUCCAUGCCGAUUACAAACAAACAUUUUCAGGUGGAUGUCACAAGUUCUGCACAUCUCAUACAACAGAUUCCCGAGAUUGAUGCUUAACACCCUCUCCGACACCAAAAUCAACUGGAUUGCACUUCAUUCAAGUUGCAAUAUUUACAAAUUGCCUCUUACAAAACUAUGAAGGUUGACUUGCUUGAUAUACAUGACCUUCCUCACCAUGAUAAGCAAAAUAUAUAUUGCCAGUUCCUCUUUCUUGUCAGGCUUUAAAACUCAGCAGGCGUUGUAAUUUAAAACAAGUUGAUCGCAUUGGCUUUAUGUUGUUGCUCAUCAAGAUGUCAAUCCGUCAUCAGCCAUUACACAUCUUGCAGCUUUCAACAGCUUUCAAAUUAUUUGAUUCUUUCAAACCUGCUAUUUUACAUCUCACAGCCCUAUCUUCUCAAAUAUUAACAUGUUCAAGAUGACGACACCGUUACCAUAUCAUGUUUUAAAGAGUCGUUAAGAUCUAGCCUCCCACAGUGACUGCUUACACUUAUUGACAUUGUAACAUUCACGGUUUCUUACUUAUGUUACUCUCUUCCAUCAUUGCUACAUUUCAUUCAAUGUUCCCCUUUGCUGAAAUCCACUAUGUUUAACAACUGAAUUCAAUGAAUGAACAUAACUUGCUGCUUUCUCUUCA
Molecule: long non-coding RNA, 729 nt
Organism: Cryptomeria japonica (Japanese cedar)
Lineage: Eukaryota; Viridiplantae; Streptophyta; Pinopsida; Cupressales; Cupressaceae
Exons: 6
Source: RefSeq, a predicted model, not a curated record